GCCGUUCAGCAAAAUCCCGUCCCCAAGGCUGCGGAUGGUAUCGAAGAUCUCCUGCUCACGCGGAGAAAGCCGGGGGAGCCUGUUGAUGGAUUUAAGUUGGGCCGGCCUCCACCUGGGGUCAAACCCCCAGGACCGUUCAGAGCCCAGGAAGAAGAAUUUCUCCUUCCAACCAUGAAUGGAUGAGGGGGCACCAUGAAAAAGUGGCCGACCCACCCGGAGGGCGAUGUAGAGCCACUCCCCGUCUUCCGGGUUCGACUUGAAAAUAAAAAGUCGCCGGAAGACGUUGACAGAGGUAGGAAUCCCCUGUAGUAAACACAGUGACAGGAAACCCAUCACUGUCCUCCAAGCAUUUGGAGUAAGUUGCGCCGGAACCAACUGGCAUACCGCCAGCAACUCAUUCACAAAGCUGUGGAGAGGAAAUCGGAGGCCGGCCCCGAGUGACUCCGAGUGCACUCCGAUCCGGCCUACCGGAGGA
This 475-nucleotide long non-coding RNA is filed under the name Phoenix dactylifera (date palm). RNAcentral's name for it is "long non-coding RNA (PDAC_LNC022859)". The record is from RNAcentral. Lineage: Eukaryota; Viridiplantae; Streptophyta; Magnoliopsida; Arecales; Arecaceae.